This 53-nucleotide small RNA is filed under the name Sinorhizobium meliloti 2011. RNAcentral describes it as "putative ncRNA". Lineage: Bacteria; Pseudomonadati; Pseudomonadota; Alphaproteobacteria; Hyphomicrobiales; Rhizobiaceae. The record is from RNAcentral.
AUCAUUUCGGGGGACUGCUUGGCGCCUCUUCGGCGCCUCGAGCCCAAACGAUU